This 2912-nucleotide ribosomal RNA is filed under the name Pseudomonas aeruginosa. RNAcentral's name for it is "bacterial LSU rRNA". It matches the Rfam family "Bacterial large subunit ribosomal RNA". The record is from RNAcentral. Lineage: Bacteria; Pseudomonadati; Pseudomonadota; Gammaproteobacteria; Pseudomonadales; Pseudomonadaceae.
GUUAUAUGGUCAAGUGAAGAAGCGCAUACGGUGGAUGCCUUGGCAGUCAGAGGCGAUGAAAGACGUGGUAGCCUGCGAAAAGCUUCGGGGAGUCGGCAAACAGACUUUGAUCCGGAGAUCUCUGAAUGGGGGAACCCACCUAGGAUAACCUAGGUAUCUUGUACUGAAUCCAUAGGUGCAAGAGGCGAACCAGGGGAACUGAAACAUCUAAGUACCCUGAGGAAAAGAAAUCAACCGAGAUUCCCUUAGUAGUGGCGAGCGAACGGGGAUUAGCCCUUAAGCUUCAUUGAUUUUAGCGGAACGCUCUGGAAAGUGCGGCCAUAGUGGGUGAUAGCCCCGUACGCGAAAGGAUCUUUGAAGUGAAAUCGAGUAGGACGGAGCACGAGAAACUUUGUCUGAACAUGGGGGGACCAUCCUCCAAGGCUAAAUACUACUGACUGACCGAUAGUGAACCAGUACCGUGAGGGAAAGGCGAAAAGAACCCCGGAGAGGGGAGUGAAAUAGAACCUGAAACCGUAUGCGUACAAGCAGUGGGAGCCUACUUGUUAGGUGACUGCGUACCUUUUGUAUAAUGGGUCAGCGACUUAUAUUCAGUGGCAAGCUUAACCGUAUAGGGUAGGCGUAGCGAAAGCGAGUCUUAAUAGGGCGUUUAGUCGCUGGGUAUAGACCCGAAACCGGGCGAUCUAUCCAUGAGCAGGUUGAAGGUUAGGUAACACUGACUGGAGGACCGAACCCACUCCCGUUGAAAAGGUAGGGGAUGACUUGUGGAUCGGAGUGAAAGGCUAAUCAAGCUCGGAGAUAGCUGGUUCUCCUCGAAAGCUAUUUAGGUAGCGCCUCAUGUAUCACUCUGGGGGGUAGAGCACUGUUUCGGCUAGGGGGUCAUCCCGACUUACCAAACCGAUGCAAACUCCGAAUACCCAGAAGUGCCGAGCAUGGGAGACACACGGCGGGUGCUAACGUCCGUCGUGAAAAGGGAAACAACCCAGACCGCCAGCUAAGGUCCCAAAGUUGUGGUUAAGUGGUAAACGAUGUGGGAAGGCUUAGACAGCUAGGAGGUUGGCUUAGAAGCAGCCACCCUUUAAAGAAAGCGUAAUAGCUCACUAGUCGAGUCGGCCUGCGCGGAAGAUGUAACGGGGCUCAAACCACACACCGAAGCUGCGGGUGUCACGUAAGUGACGCGGUAGAGGAGCGUUCUGUAAGCCUGUGAAGGUGAGUUGAGAAGCUUGCUGGAGGUAUCAGAAGUGCGAAUGCUGACAUGAGUAACGACAAUGGGUGUGAAAAACACCCACGCCGAAAGACCAAGGGUUCCUGCGCAACGUUAAUCGACGCAGGGUUAGUCGGUUCCUAAGGCGAGGCUGAAAAGCGUAGUCGAUGGGAAACAGGUUAAUAUUCCUGUACUUCUGGUUACUGCGAUGGAGGGACGGAGAAGGCUAGGCCAGCUUGGCGUUGGUUGUCCAAGUUUAAGGUGGUAGGCUGAAAUCUUAGGUAAAUCCGGGGUUUCAAGGCCGAGAGCUGAUGACGAGUCGUCUUUUAGAUGACGAAGUGGUUGAUGCCAUGCUUCCAAGAAAAGCUUCUAAGCUUCAGGUAACCAGGAACCGUACCCCAAACCGACACAGGUGGUCGGGUAGAGAAUACCAAGGCGCUUGAGAGAACUCGGGUGAAGGAACUAGGCAAAAUAGCACCGUAACUUCGGGAGAAGGUGCGCCGGCUAGGGUGAAGGAUUUACUCCGUAAGCUCUGGCUGGUCGAAGAUACCAGGCCGCUGCGACUGUUUAUUAAAAACACAGCACUCUGCAAACACGAAAGUGGACGUAUAGGGUGUGACGCCUGCCCGGUGCCGGAAGGUUAAUUGAUGGGGUUAGCGCAAGCGAAGCUCUUGAUCGAAGCCCCGGUAAACGGCGGCCGUAACUAUAACGGUCCUAAGGUAGCGAAAUUCCUUGUCGGGUAAGUUCCGACCUGCACGAAUGGCGUAACGAUGGCGGCGCUGUCUCCACCCGAGACUCAGUGAAAUUGAAAUCGCUGUGAAGAUGCAGUGUAUCCGCGGCUAGACGGAAAGACCCCGUGAACCUUUACUGUAGCUUUGCACUGGACUUUGAGCCUGCUUGUGUAGGAUAGGUGGGAGGCUUUGAAGCGUGGACGCCAGUUCGCGUGGAGCCAUCCUUGAAAUACCACCCUGGCAUGCUUGAGGUUCUAACUCUGGUCCGUGAUCCGGAUCGAGGACAGUGUAUGGUGGGCAGUUUGACUGGGGCGGUCUCCUCCUAAAGAGUAACGGAGGAGUACGAAGGUGCGCUCAGACCGGUCGGAAAUCGGUCGUAGAGUAUAAAGGCAAAAGCGCGCUUGACUGCGAGACAGACACGUCGAGCAGGUACGAAAGUAGGUCUUAGUGAUCCGGUGGUUCUGUAUGGAAGGGCCAUCGCUCAACGGAUAAAAGGUACUCCGGGGAUAACAGGCUGAUACCGCCCAAGAGUUCAUAUCGACGGCGGUGUUUGGCACCUCGAUGUCGGCUCAUCACAUCCUGGGGCUGAAGCCGGUCCCAAGGGUAUGGCUGUUCGCCAUUUAAAGUGGUACGCGAGCUGGGUUUAGAACGUCGUGAGACAGUUCGGUCCCUAUCUGCCGUGGACGUUUGAGAUUUGAGAGGGGCUGCUCCUAGUACGAGAGGACCGGAGUGGACGAACCUCUGGUGUUCCGGUUGUCACGCCAGUGGCAUUGCCGGGUAGCUAUGUUCGGAAAAGAUAACCGCUGAAAGCAUCUAAGCGGGAAACUUGCCUCAAGAUGAGAUCUCACUGGGAACUUGAUUCCCCUGAAGGGCCGUCGAAGACUACGACGUUGAUAGGCUGGGUGUGUAAGCGUUGUGAGGCGUUGAGCUAACCAGUACUAAUUGCCCGUGAGGCUUGACCAUAUAACACCCAAACA